AACGAACGCUGGCGGCAUGCCUAACACAUGCAAGUCGAACGAGACCUUCGGGUCUAGUGGCGCACGGGUGCGUAACGCGUGGGAACCUGCCCUUAGGUUCGGAAUAACUCCCCGAAAGGGGUGCUAAUACCGGAUAAUGUCUUCGGACCAAAGAUUUAUCGCCUUUGGAUGGGCCCGCGUUGGAUUAGCUAGUUGGUAGGGUAAAAGCCUACCAAGGCGACGAUCCAUAGCUGGUCUGAGAGGAUGAUCAGCCACACUGGGACUGAGACACGGCCCAGACUCCUACGGGAGGCAGCAGUGGGGAAUAUUGGACAAUGGGCGGAAGCCUGAUCCAGCAAGGCCGCGUGAGUGAUGAAGGCCUUAGGGUUGUAAAGCUCUUUUACCCGGGAUGAUAAUGACAGUACCGGGAGAAUAAGCUCCGGCUAACUCCGUG
This 433-nucleotide ribosomal RNA is filed under the name uncultured bacterium. RNAcentral describes it as "partial 16S ribosomal RNA". It matches the Rfam family "Bacterial small subunit ribosomal RNA", at positions 29 to 507 of the family's 1533-position model. The record is from RNAcentral.